UGCGUAGGCGGCUUUUUAAGUCGGAUGUGAAAUCCCUGAGCUUAACUUAGGAAUUGCAUUCGAUACUGGGAAGCUAGAGUAUGGGAGAGGAUGGUAGAAUUCCAGGUGUAGCGGUGAAAUGCGUAGAGAUCUGGAGGAAUACCGAUGGCGAAGGCAGCCAUCUGGCCUAAUACUGACGCUGAUGGACGAAAGCUAGGGGAGCGAAAGGGAUUAGAUACCCCCGUA
Molecule: ribosomal RNA, 225 nt
Filed under: uncultured Acinetobacter sp.
Lineage: Bacteria; Pseudomonadati; Pseudomonadota; Gammaproteobacteria; Moraxellales; Moraxellaceae
Description: partial 16S ribosomal RNA
Rfam family: Bacterial small subunit ribosomal RNA
Source: RNAcentral